GUCAGUCUGGGUGGGAGCGGUUCCGGUACACAAAAACCAUUGCCCGGUGGAGGCAAUGGUGGGGGUUCUAAUCCUUCGACCGGCG
RNAcentral lists this transfer RNA (85 nucleotides) under Acinetobacter colistiniresistens. Its description in RNAcentral is "tRNA-His". The record is from RNAcentral. Lineage: Bacteria; Pseudomonadati; Pseudomonadota; Gammaproteobacteria; Moraxellales; Moraxellaceae.